UGAAGACUUUCUUUUUCAUUCAAUAGCGCCUCUCCUAUAAGAGAAGGAGCUUUCUUCACCCCUACGUACGGCAGGCCCUUCUUCAAGAGUGCCCUUUCCCCAGCCUCCAAUCGUCUCAGAAGAGAAGACUAAGCUCAGACGAAUUGCAGUCCGCCCCGGCCCCUCCUUAGUGACUUUGGUCAGGAAAGGGAAUAGGGCAAUAAAUAGAGCUUCGGCUCAGAAUUAGACCUUCUGUAGACGGAACUUCAGACUUCUGGAUAGGCCUGAGAAAGCCUAGACCAAAGGUGCCUAAUAGCCUAGCCAGACUCAUCGGGUAG
This 317-nucleotide long non-coding RNA is filed under the name Nicotiana benthamiana. Its description in RNAcentral is "long non-coding RNA (NBEN_LNC003821)". The record is from RNAcentral. Lineage: Eukaryota; Viridiplantae; Streptophyta; Magnoliopsida; Solanales; Solanaceae.